Gallus gallus (chicken) is the source of this 2385-nucleotide long non-coding RNA. The record is from Ensembl. NCBI's taxonomy places the organism in Eukaryota, Metazoa, Chordata, Aves, Galliformes, Phasianidae.
ACCACCUUUCCUCAUACGAGAGGUGCUCCAGCCCUCUGACCAUCUUAGUGGCCCUCCUCUGGACCCACUCCAAGAACUCCCCAUCUUGAGGAGAAGACAGAAUAAAGGUAAGGCAGACGCUGAGAAGGACAAGAGCAAAAGCAGAGAAGAACAGGCACAGGUAAGAAAGAAGAGCAGAAGAGGAGGAGAAGAAAAACAGAGGAUGAAGGUAAGAAAAACAAGCGGGCAGGGAGAAGAGCUGAAGAAGGGAUGAGUGGGUGCAGGUAAGACAGAACAGCAGAAGUGGAGAGGAGCUGAAGAGGAGAAGUAUGAAAAGUAGAGCAAAAGUACAGGAGGUGGAAAGAGAGGAAAGAGGCAAGAGAGAAGAGAGGAAGAGCAGAGAAAGAACAGAGUAGUAGAGAAGAGCGGACAGUGCUGUGAAAAGAAGAACAGUGCCAAAGAGCAGGUGAAGAAUAAAGGAAGAACAGGAGUGCAGAUGAAGAAGAGGUGUGAGCGCACAAGGAAGAAAAAUCAGAAGACAGGAGGAGUGCAGUAAGAAGAAGGAGGAGAGAAGAUACGGGAAAAAGAACAGCAGAAGGGUGCAGAUGCAGAAGAGAGAUGACACAGGGAACAACAAGGAGCAGAAGAGGAGAGCAGUCAGAAGAAAGACAAGUGAGAAUACAGGGAACAAAGCAAAGCAGAGAGGAGUGCAGAGGCAGAAGAGGAGAGAGGAUACAGAGAAGAAAGAACGGUGGAAGAGGUGUGCAGAUGCAGAAUAAAGAGCAUUGAGGAGACAGAAUAAGAAGAGCAACAGAGGAGUUUAGACGCAGAACGAUGAGGAGUGAAAAAGCAGGGAAAAAAAACGGGAGAAGAAGAGUGAGAAUGCAGAGAAAAAAGCAGGGAGAAUAUAGGGAAGAACCAAGAGCCUAAGAGAAGUGCAAGUGCAAAUGCAAAUGCAAGUGAGGGUACAGGGAAAAAGGAACAGCAGAAGGGGAGUGCAGGUGCAGAAAAAAGGGGAGAGCGGAUACAAGAAGAAACAAACAGCAGAAGAAGAUCACAGCUGCAGGUGAUGAAGCAGUGAGAAUACAGGGAAGGGAGAAGAUGAGGAGUGCCUAUGCAGAAAGAGGACUGAGGUUACGGGGAAGAAAGCAGAGCAGAAAGGCAGUGCAAAGGCAGAAGGAAGAGGAGCGAGGAGACAGGGAUGAUAGAAGAGCAGAUAAGAAGGGCAGAUGCAGAAGAAGAGGAGUGUGGAAAGAGGGAAGAGAGUAGAGCAGAAGAGAUUGAAGAAAAAAGGAAGUUAAGCUGAUGAAGAUAAAAGGAAGAAAGAACAGCAGAACAGAAGAGCAGAUGCACAAGAAAGGGCAGUGAGGAGACAGAAAAAAGAGAGUAUAGGAGGAGAGCAGAUGGAGGAGGAAGAGGAGUGAGGAAGCAGGGAGAAACGAACAGGAGAAGAGGGAGAAUGCAGAGGAAAGAGCAGGGAGGGUAUAGGGAAGAAGGAAGAGCCCUAGAGGAGUGCAGAUGCAGAAGUAAAAGUGGGGAUAGAGGGAAGAAAGAACAGCAGAUUAGAGCUGAUGCUGACGAAAAAAGGAAUGAGGAAGCAGGGGAAAAACCAGCAGAAGAGCAGUGAGGAAACAGGAAGAAGAACAGCAGAAGGGGAGAUGAAAUGCAGAAGAAAGAGGAGAGAGGACAGAGAGAAGAAGGAAGAGCAGAAGAGGAGUGCAGAUGCAGAUGAAGGCAGAGCGAGGGUACAGGAAAGACAGAAUGGCACAAUAGGAGCCAUUACUGGGAGAAUGAAUAGCCAGCUGAAGAGGAGCGAGGACAGAGGGAAGAAAGAGCCAGCAGAAGAGGAGCGGAUAAUGCUAAGGGAGAAGAACUCAAGAGUAGAUGAGCUGCCACAGCAGCAGCAAGAGAUAAAGCAGACAGAGAGGAGAAGAGGGAGGUGGAGAAUAGGAAAAGAAGAGUAAUGGGCAGGGGAGGACUGAGAGGAGGAAACAGCAGACCACAGAAGUGCAGGAGAAGGAAGAAGAGAAAUAAUGGUGCCGAGAAAAGGGAGAGAAGAGUAUAAAAAAUUAUAUAUAGUAGAGGAGAGGAAGACGGCAGAGGAGAAGUUAGAAAAGAUAGAAGAGAGAAGGGAGGGAAGGGGCAUCAACGUUUUCAAAGUUUUCAAACAUUGCAAAAGGUUUUUUUUACCUUUUCCAAAGGUAAAAAAAAAAAAAAAAAAAGAGAAAUGAUGAAGAUGGGAGUUCAACAGAAGAACUGAAGAUGUAAGAAGUGGGGAGGCGUGUGCAGAGAGCAGGAGAGCAGAGAGAGAAGGUGAGAGCAAAUUCCGUCACUGAGAGAAGAAGAAAAAGGAACGUCAAUAAUUUUUGUCUCUAUUAAAGCUGGGUUCUGUGCAGGACAUACAGG